UACGGAGGGUGCAAGCGUUAUCCGGAUUUACUGGGUUUAAAGGGUGCGCAGGCGGAUAUGUAAGUCAGUGGUGAAAUCUCCGGGCUUAACCCGGAAAUUGCCGUUGAUACUAUAUAUCUUGAAUGCUGUGGAGGUAAGCAGAAUAUGUCAUGUAGCGGUGAAAUGCUUAGAUAUGACAUAGAAUACCUAUUGCGAAGGCAGCUACUACGCAGAUAUUGACGCUCAUGCACGAAAGCGUGGGGAUCAAACAGG
This 252-nucleotide ribosomal RNA is filed under the name uncultured bacterium. RNAcentral describes it as "partial 16S ribosomal RNA". It matches the Rfam family "Bacterial small subunit ribosomal RNA", at positions 524 to 776 of the family's 1533-position model. The record is from RNAcentral.